This 238-nucleotide long non-coding RNA is filed under the name Lathyrus oleraceus (garden pea). RNAcentral's name for it is "Pisum sativum (pea) long non-coding RNA (PSAT_LNC025309)". The record is from RNAcentral. Lineage: Eukaryota; Viridiplantae; Streptophyta; Magnoliopsida; Fabales; Fabaceae.
UUUUAUGAGAAGUAUUUUUUAACUGCGUCUGAGUUCACAGGGGAAGUGAAGUUUUCACCUUCCAUAGUUGCAAGCAUUAGGCUCCACCAUCAAAAACCUUGGUGACAACAUACGGUCCAUCAUAGUUAGGAGUCCACUUGCCCCUGUGAUCUGUCUGAGGAGGAAGGAUCCUUUUCAACACCAAAUCUCCGACUUGGAAGCAUCACAGACGCACUUUAUGAUCAAAGGCUCUCUUCAU